AAGCCACAAAAAUUUAAGACUUCUAUUGCUAACCCACUGGAUUUAUCACAAUAGGGUUUCAAAAAGAGGAAAACUGCAUUUUGCUGCUUGAGCAUCGACUCCAACAAAAAGGAAUGAAUGUUAAGUGCUUAGAGACGAUAGCCGUAAGAAUGAAGAGGGAAUAAUCCCAAAAAGAUGUCUUCAAAUAUAUUAUUGCUAAAAGCAGUAUCUUAUAUAUCACUGCAUCAAAGAAACUAAGGACCUUAUUUCUGCUCCAUUUCCAUUGGAUAAGUAAUAUACUUUCUUCCAGUUUUCCUCUGAAAAUGCCUCACGACGUAUUAGUCUUUGCCUAAGGUAGUAAUGACAAACUGCAGCCGCUUCAUUCAAAUCAUAGCGGGCCAAAUUGACACGUGCAUCUACAGGAACAUCAGGCAGGUCUUUACGCAGCUUUCCAACUGCUGUUGAAUGAGAAAAAGCACCCACCAUCAUGUCAUUAUGCAUCAUGGACCUAAAAGCAUUUACCGUUGCAAGUUCCCUAGCAUGUAUUGGUCGACAAGAACGAAUAGUUACGGGUUCUUCAUACUCACUGAAUGUAAACCAGUUAUUAUAUUGAUCAAUUGCAAUGAGCACAGGUAUAUCUUUCACAAGUGAUAACUCUUUCCUCAAACGAACUACCACUCCAACAGCUGCAUGUGUGUGCUUGAUUCCAAUUUGAAUUAAGUCAUAUAAAGUUGAACCUUCAGGAACUGCCAUGGAGUCAACUCCCUUCACAUCCACCCAACACCAGCACCCUCUCCCAGUGGAACAGGAUCAAAUAUAUGGCAUGGUAAUUUCUUCAAAAUGGGAUCAUUGUAUUUCAGAAAAUCCUUAAGAAUAUUUUCAGCCUGAACAGGUGUGUCCCAAAGGCCAGUUUCUGGGUGUUUAUAGAAAAAUCCACCAUGAGUCCAUUCCCGCCCUCUAGGGACAUAAAACACUAGCCAACCCUCAUCACGAGCCCAGUGAACAAGCAUUGCAAGUGUAAUACUCUUCCCACAGCUAACAGGGCCAUCCAAUACAAUUUGCUUUCUCACUUUUGGAUCUUUACCACCAGAGGAAAGCGGAUGAGUAUCAACAAUGCGUCUAAAAUUGUCGCGAAGAUCCAAAAAGCUCUGUCUAACUAACACAGCUCUCCGCAUUGAAUCCUCGAACUCCUUUGCCAUCCCCUUUGGCAAGCCCUCAGGCAAGGCCCCAUUCAAUCCCUCCUCGCUGAAUUUGAAGUAGGUGCAGGUGUCAUUGCGAGUGAGCUGAGAGAGCGAGGGGGUGGAAGUGAACAGAGGUCGACCAUUAGGACCCACAUCGAGAGAAGGGUCCUUCUCGUCUUCCAUGAGGUGGCGGACGCGUUUGGCCCCAUCAUCAAAGAAGGCGGCGUCAACAACGUCGGUGGCAGAUGAGUUGGCAGUGGCUUCAUUGGUGGAUUUCUUCUUGGAUUUUGGGUCAGUUUUCUUAGCUUUGGCAAGGUUGGAUUUGGAAGAGAAGUAACAGAAGUGAUUAUGAUCGAAUGCCGAAAUAGAAGGAACCGUAGAGUUGGAUUUUGGGUUCCAUGGAGGAUGUAUCUGGGGCUUCCUCAGUGCGGCUCUGAGGAUGUGCCUUAACAUCUCUAUUUCUCCGAGUAGUAUGAGACGAAGGUUUUGGG
RNAcentral lists this unclassified non-coding RNA (1651 nucleotides) under Hevea brasiliensis (rubber tree). Lineage: Eukaryota; Viridiplantae; Streptophyta; Magnoliopsida; Malpighiales; Euphorbiaceae. The record is from RNAcentral.